Molecule: long non-coding RNA, 978 nt
Organism: Lolium perenne
Lineage: Eukaryota; Viridiplantae; Streptophyta; Magnoliopsida; Poales; Poaceae
Source: RefSeq, a predicted model, not a curated record
CCGUACCCAAAGCCCACCUCCCCCGAACCAAAGUCUCCAUCCCUCCAUCCACUAAAUCGACGGCGUGGCUGCCUACUUUAUCCCUAACCUCCAUGGCUCCACCUGCCACCCAUCGCCGCCGGUGGCAGUGACAAAGGCCGAGGAGGGUUCGUCCACGGCCGUAUCUGUGCGGGCGACUACAACGAGAUCUUCGGCCUGCUCGACCUCGGGGACUUCACGCCGCCAUAUGAGGAGUUGUUCAGACGGUGGGGAGAGAGGCACACCGGCGCAAGUGGAUGCGCCGGAGAAGGAGAUUGCAUCGUUAAUCGGGAGCUCAUCCAGGAUCAUUUUUUGCUUCAAGUACAAAUCUUCAUCUUGACAAACCAAAGUAAGCGUAUCUAUUGCAUGCUUAAAUGUAUUAUCAGUUCUCAACUGGUUCUUGUCAAGUGGUUUCUGAAUUUCAGGAGAUUAUUUAAUCUUGCUUACAUGGGCAAACUGCAAAAAACAUUACGUAAUGUUUUUUUUAUCGCACACUGCUUCUUUGUGAUUUUGUUUAACUAGCUAAUUAUGUUUCUAUGGUAAAAUAGACUUAGCUUAAUAUAUGAUAGUGAUGCAAAAUUAUGACCUUUACUAACCUUAUUGUUUUCCACAGAUAGGUCAUAUGUAUUAAACUGAUCAACAAUAGUUCCUUCUUAAUGUCAUGGCUGAGCUUGUCCUUCGACAAAUAUGCGACAAAGCUUUGCGAGUCCGAUGGUCUUCAAGCUGGAGCGCAGAGAGUAUUAAGAUGUGGAAGUGAUGGAAUGUUGGUGUCUUUUGGUUCGCCGAUUGGAAGAUGUGGAAGUGCCGAGUGUUUGGUUUCGUUUGGUUCGCUUGUAUUUUCCGUAGAGUUCUUCCCGUUUAGUUUCAAUUUUUCUGUAACACAAGGCUUUGGAGUGACAUGUUUCCUAUAAUACACGUUGUAAUGUGCUUUUUUGAAGUUAUUAUGAGAUUUUUUUCUAC